RNAcentral lists this ribosomal RNA (348 nucleotides) under uncultured rumen bacterium. Its description in RNAcentral is "bacterial SSU rRNA". It matches the Rfam family "Bacterial small subunit ribosomal RNA", at positions 19 to 363 of the family's 1533-position model. The record is from RNAcentral.
UUGGCUCAGGAUGAACGCUGGCGGCAGGCUUAACACAUGCAAGUCGAGGGGUAACGCGAGGUAGCAAUACUUUGGCGACRACCGGCGCACGGGUGCGUAACGCGUAUGCAACCUACCUGUAACAGGGGUAUAACGGAGGGAAACUUCCACUAAUCCCCAUAUUGUUGUGGUACCGCAUGAUAUUACAACGAAAGCUUCGGUGGUUACGGAUGGGCAUGCGUGACAUUAGCUAGUUGGUAAGGUAACGGCUUACCAAGGCGACGAUGUCUAGGGGAGCUGAGAGGCUUAUCCCCCACACUGGUACUGAGACACGGACCAGACUCCUACGGGAGGCAGCAGUGGGGAAUA